This 3624-nucleotide unclassified non-coding RNA is filed under the name Hevea brasiliensis (rubber tree). The record is from RNAcentral. Lineage: Eukaryota; Viridiplantae; Streptophyta; Magnoliopsida; Malpighiales; Euphorbiaceae.
AAAAUUCUAGUUUCCAAACAAGGGGUUAGGAUUUUGCUGUUUCUGUUUCAAAUUUAUAAAAUUAAUGUUGGAAGUUUAGUAGUUUACUUCAACUUUUUAGUUCACCAGAGUUUAGAUAACUUGUACAAUUAUUAAAGAUUGCAUAAUAGGGUUUCUUUGAGAAAAAUGUGAUGAUAUGUUGUUUCAUGUGCAUAUUCAUGUUGUUCUUUGGUUUAUCUUUUCAGUAAAGUGUAGUUAGCACCUGAUUUGUUAUAGAUUAUGGCUUUACUUUUGCUUUGUAUGCAAAAAAAUUAGGGUUAAAAACUUCUGGUUAGCAUACAUUGAGAGAAUCUGUUUGAAUUUGAACAGGUCCUUGAUUAAUUCGAUCAGUGUCUAUCAUUGCCCUGGAACACAUCGCUGCAAGCUUAACUACAUGCUUAUAGAGAGUGCAAAUUAUUAUCCCAUUUUUCAAAAUUUUUCUCCUAUGAUCUUUUAAUAAUUCAGGAUUCCCUUUUUUUUUUGUUGGGGGUGUGGGGAAAGGAAUGAGAGGAGUGUGGUUUGUUGAGGUAAAUAAUUAUGGCCAUAUUGAAUCUCUUCCAAAUUCACAUUUUAUUUGUUCAAACAAAUCUAACUGAUUUCUUUUCUAGUUUUAGAAAUAAUGACCUCUUCACAAUAGUUAAAAAAAUAUGUAUUUCUUCAUUUAUCAAUGCAAAUGAAUCUCUUGUGUCACUCUCGACAUGUGGAUAUUUUAAUCUUAACAUAUUCCAAUAUCAUCAAUCCUGCCAUAAACUUUCUGAGUUUGGCCUUCCUACUGCAUUCCACUAUUUUUCAGAGGUUACUGUUGCCAGUGGUUUGCAAUACAAUCAUGCUAGAAUUGCUAUCGGUUUCAAUAAAUAAAAUCACUCGGAAGGUUGUGUUGUAUUGAAUGUGACAUGACAAUGUCAAAAUAUGCUCAUUUGGCCUCCGCCCAUUUCAGUCCAACAUUUUUUCUUCAGAUGAUAAAAGGCCACAUGUGUUAUUCUAGUUCAUUUGUUAUUUGUUUUGCAAUGUUUCAUCAUUUCAUGGUUUCUAGAUUGAAGGGAUGGGCCAUGGGUUUGGGGCUUGGAAUAGCAAGCGAGGAGAAGGCUGCAUAAGAUGGAUGACUGAUAACCCACUUCCAGUUCUCACCAAGCAAAGAGCUUUUUGCACCGGGGAUCACUUAAAAAAGUCUAACAAGCAUAAAAAUGAAGGCAAGAAAAGAGGAGGUGGUUUUAGCAAAUUAUGUAUUCUUUCCCCUCAACUUCAGGAAUUCCUUGGGGUGCCUCAAUUAGCUAGAACUAAGGUUGUCAAUCAACUUUGGAUUUACAUUAGAGAAAAAAAUUUGCAAGACCCAGAUAAUCGGCGGUACAUAAUUUGUGAUGAACCAUUACGUGCCCUUUUUGGUGUUGAUUGUAUCAACAUGUUUCAAAUGAAUAAAGCCCUAUCAAAGCAUAUUUGGCCCUUGGAUUCAGAUGGUGGUAUGCUACUACAUCCUUAGUUUUAAAACAUAGAUCAAUAUUAUUAUUAUUCUAAAUGUGGAUAUGGAACAUCUUUGUAGUGUACCCUUUAGUAAGCUAUGGGUAACUAUCUGUGACCCUUGUAAGUCUUAAGAUGAAAACUUCUCAUAUAGGUUCCUUGAUUUCAGAAAUAUUUAUUUUAUUGAUUUUACCUGUAAAUCUGCAAAAUACUGUGAAUGCUAUCAUUAAUUUAAUUUCCCCAUUUUUAGCAUCAACAAAUUUAUGUGUGUGCUUACAACAUCUGUUUUACUUUUUUUUAUGACAAAGUUGUUCCAGCCAAGUCAGCACCAAAGGAAAAGCAGCGUAAGCAAGAGAGAGAAGAAGGUAGCAAAUGAAGUUAUUUUCCAAAUUAUUUCAUGUGCAUUCUUCAAAAGAUGAAUUAAGCUAAUACAAGUACUUAGUUUGAUCCUGUUUAUAUGGACCUCAUCACCCCUUGCGUAGUACAACAACUUGGGAUCAAAACUUAAUCUUACCCCUUUCAUUUGAUUUAAAUUCAGAAUUUAAUAUUAGCUAGGUCUUAUGCUAUAGUGCACUUGACAGAAACUGUUCUGUUAUAUCUAUUGCUUGAAGCUUUGCUUUAUGCCUGUUGUUUGCUUUCAAAUGUAAAAGUUUUCCCUUCAUUUUGACUCAUUUUUCACAUGAGGUUGACUCGGUAUUUCACUGAGAUUUACUUGAUGCAAUAUCCACUUAGCAAAAGCAUUUGAAAUGCAGUAACGUUUUAUGAUCUUUAUGACAUAUUGUGACCAAAAUAAUUGUACAUGUUGGCAAAUGAUUUCAUUUCCUUAGCUCUUGUCACAAUAUUAGCAGUAAGUUGCUUUUUAGUGGUCAUAUGGAACCUUCUAUUAACCUUAACUACAUGUCAGAGCCAGAUGAGCCAAAAAGAAAAGAAAAAAGACAAAAGGAAGAAAAAUUGGGUUUUCUUGCUCCCCUUCAACUUUCAGAUGCUCUAGUAAAGUUCUUUGGUACCGGAGAAAGUGUGUUAUCACGAGCUGAUGUUGUCAAGAGAAUUUGGGAGUACAUAAAGCAGAACAACCUCCAGGUAUGUGGUUGUGGGCUUGAAGCCCUUAAUGUACUACAUGAUGUGGUACUUGUUGGUAAUCCACCUUAACUUGUGCACUAUUAAAUGCUUGUAAGCAAUAGAUGAGUGCUUUUGUGCAAAGUUUUCUUUUAUACAUUUAAUUUUUCUCACAACACAAAAAUAUUAUGACACCUAAAAUAUUCCUCACUCUCAAAAUAAUCUGUUUCAUCAUUUCUGCUCAUUUAUCUUUAGAUCUUGAGAUGCAUAUGAGGUUGUCAUUUUUUCUGAAAGUAGGGAGCAGAAUUAAUGUGAAUAGUGCAAUAACUGGACUAAUAUAAUCGAAAUGUUAAACUGAGGUUAGAUUUCAGAAUAAUUGAUGUGGUUCUCUGAAGUGGGCACCUAGAGGAUUAUAAUUUUGGUUUAAAAUUAUAUUAUCAACUAAUCUGCAAAGGUUAAAGACGUGCUUUAAUUUGUUUAGAAAGGGAAAACCAAAACAAUUUUUCCAGAUGAGAUUCCAAUUGUUAAAGGUUAUUAUCUGUGUAAUGUUACUGUUUUGACAACCAUAUCAAGAUUAACCAUUAAAUGGGGGCAUUGUGUUAAGUUGGCCUUAUGAUGUACAAUCUGUAGCUAUUUUUUUAAUACUGUCAUCCUUGAGAAUGACUUUGCAUUACAGUAAGGGGUUAGCCUUUUGAGUGCUGAUCUCAAUCCCACAACAAGGUUGCCUGAAAUUCUAACUACCUGCAAAUUGGAUUUAUGUGAAACCUUUCUAUUGGGAAUUAAUAGAAAAUAUUAGGUAAAGAAACUUGAGGAUAGUGUUUAUAGAGAUGCUUAGUAUUUUCGCAGCUUUGUUUUAACCUGUAGCUAAAGCCGUUCUUUGCUUAUUUGAAGGACCCAUCUGACAAGAGGAGAGUAAUAUGUGAUUAGAAGCUGAAAGAACUCUUUGAUGUCGACUCCUUCAAUGGCUUUACAGUUUCAAAGCUCCUAUCUGCUCAUUUCGUAAAGACCUAAUGCUGAGUUGCUACUGCAUAUUUCCCAGUUCUGACUAAGCUCAAGAGGAAAUAGGGUAUUCCCUGCAAUUUGUCCAAAAUUUUC